Molecule: ribosomal RNA, 1550 nt
Filed under: Streptococcus parasuis
Lineage: Bacteria; Bacillati; Bacillota; Bacilli; Lactobacillales; Streptococcaceae
Description: bacterial SSU rRNA
Rfam family: Bacterial small subunit ribosomal RNA
Source: RNAcentral
GAGUUUGAUCCUGGCUCAGGACGAACGCUGGCGGCGUGCCUAAUACAUGCAAGUGGAACGCAUGAUUGAUACCGGAGCUUGCUCCACCAUUAAUCAUGAGUCGCGAACGGGUGAGUAACGCGUAGGUAACCUACCUCAUAGCGGGGGAUAACUAUUGGAAACGAUAGCUAAUACCGCAUAACAGUAUUUAUCACAUGGUAAAUGCUUGAAAGGAGCAAUUGCUUCACUAUGAGAUGGACCUGCGUUGUAUUAGCUAGUUGGUGGGGUAACGGCUCACCAAGGCAUCGAUACAUAGCCGACCUGAGAGGGUGAUCGGCCACACUGGGACUGAGACACGGCCCAGACUCCUACGGGAGGCAGCAGUAGGGAAUCUUCGGCAAUGGGGGGAACCCUGACCGAGCAACGCCGCGUGAGUGAAGAAGGUUUUCGGAUCGUAAAGCUCUGUUGUAAGAGAAGAACGUGUGUGAGAGUGGAAAAUUCACACAGUGACGGUAACUUACCAGAAAGGGACGGCUAACUACGUGCCAGCAGCCGCGGUAAUACGUAGGUCCCGAGCGUUGUCCGGAUUUAUUGGGCGUAAAGCGAGCGCAGGCGGUUUGAUAAGUCUGAAGUAAAAGGCUGUGGCUUAACCAUAGUAUGCUUUGGAAACUGUCAAACUUGAGUGCAGAAGGGGAGAGUGGAAUUCCAUGUGUAGCGGUGAAAUGCGUAGAUAUAUGGAGGAACACCGGUGGCGAAAGCGGCUCUCUGGUCUGUAACUGACGCUGAGGCUCGAAAGCGUGGGGAGCGAACAGGAUUAGAUACCCUGGUAGUCCACGCCGUAAACGAUGAGUGCUAGGUGUUGGGUCCUUUCCGGGACUCAGUGCCGCAGCUAACGCAUUAAGCACUCCGCCUGGGGAGUACGACCGCAAGGUUGAAACUCAAAGGAAUUGACGGGGGCCCGCACAAGCGGUGGAGCAUGUGGUUUAAUUCGAAGCAACGCGAAGAACCUUACCAGGUCUUGACAUCCCAGUGACCGUCCUAGAGAUAGGAUUUUUCUUCGGAACACUGGAGACAGGUGGUGCAUGGUUGUCGUCAGCUCGUGUCGUGAGAUGUUGGGUUAAGUCCCGCAACGAGCGCAACCCCUAUUGUUAGUUGCCAUCAUUCAGUUGGGCACUCUAGCGAGACUGCCGGUAAUAAACCGGAGGAAGGUGGGGAUGACGUCAAAUCAUCAUGCCCUUUAUGACCUGGGCUACACACGUGCUACAAUGGCUGGUACAACGAGUCGCAAGUCGGUGACGACAAGCUAAUCUCUUAAAGCCAGUCUCAGUUCGGAUUGUAGGCUGCAACUCGCCUACAUGAAGUCGGAAUCGCUAGUAAUCGCGGAUCAGCACGCCGCGGUGAAUACGUUCCCGGGCCUUGUACACACCGCCCGUCACACCACGAGAGUUUGUAACACCCGAAGUCGGUGAGGUAACCAUUUGGAGCCAGCCGCCUAAGGUGGGAUAGAUGAUUGGGGUGAAGUCGUAACAAGGUAGCCGUAUCGGAAGGUGCGGCUGGAUCACCUCCUUUCU